Long non-coding RNA from Poecilia latipinna (sailfin molly), 302 nucleotides. RefSeq lists it as uncharacterized. The transcript has 3 exons. The record is from RefSeq and is a predicted model, not a curated record. Lineage: Eukaryota; Metazoa; Chordata; Actinopteri; Cyprinodontiformes; Poeciliidae.
AUGACAGCUCAUAUUUCUUGCUGAAAAGGUACUUGCUAGUUUUUUCUUAUUUCACUAGAAACUAAACCAAAAAUACUCGGUAAGAUUUUGUAACACAGCGUCGCUAAAAUCCCUUUCACGUUUUGGACCUACAAUAAAUAUUUUGGCGAUUUAUUUGCUUAAUUUUAGUUUUUUUUUUUUAUAUAAUUUCUUGUCCUGUGAAUACGGUUGAAUCUACAUUUUUGGCGCACGUGACAAAACAUUUUUACACCCUGGUCUACAGGAAGCGGGCGCCGCCGGGACGCCGCAGCCGCCUGGACGCC